Molecule: ribosomal RNA, 377 nt
Filed under: uncultured bacterium
Lineage: Bacteria
Description: bacterial SSU rRNA
Rfam family: Bacterial small subunit ribosomal RNA
Source: RNAcentral
AUACGUAGGUGGCAAGCGUUGUCCGGAUUUAUUGGGCGUAAAGGGAGCGCAGGUGGUUUCUUAAGUCUGAUGUGAAAGCCCACGGCUUAACCGUGGAGGGUCAUUGGAAACUGGGAAACUUGAGUACAGAAGAGGAAUGUGGAACUCCAUGUGUAGCGGUGGAAUGCGUAGAUAUAUGGAAGAACACCAGUGGCGAAAGCGACAUUCUGGUCUGUUACUGACACUGAGGCUCGAAAGCGUGGGGAGCAAACAGGAUUAGAUACCCUGGUAGUCCACGCCGUAAACGAUGAGUGCUAGGUGUUGGAGGGUUUCCGCCCUUCAGUGCCGCAGUUAACGCAUUAAGCACUCCGCCUGGGGAGUACGACCGCAAGGUUGAA